RNAcentral lists this ribosomal RNA (320 nucleotides) under uncultured Prevotella sp. RNAcentral describes it as "bacterial SSU rRNA". It matches the Rfam family "Bacterial small subunit ribosomal RNA", at positions 28 to 339 of the family's 1533-position model. The record is from RNAcentral. Lineage: Bacteria; Pseudomonadati; Bacteroidota; Bacteroidia; Bacteroidales; Prevotellaceae.
GAUGAACGCUAGCUACAGGCUUAACACAUGCAAGUCGAGGGGCAGCAUGAUCAAAGCUUGCUUUGGUUGAUGGCGACCGGCGCACGGGUGAGUAACGCGUAUCCAACCUUCCCUAUAGUAGAGGAUAGCCCGGCGAAAGUCGGAUUAAUACUCUAUGUUGUAUUUCGAGGACAUCUGAAGAAUACCAAAGGCUUGCCGCUAUAGGAUGGGGAUGCGUCUGAUUAGGUAGUCGGCGGGGUAACGGCCCACCGAGCCAUCGAUCAGUAGGGGUUCUGAGAGGAAGGUCCCCCACAUUGGAACUGAGACACGGUCCAAACUCC